GACGAACGCUGGCGGCGUUCUUAACACAUGCAAGUCGAACGGAAAGGCCCUGCUUUUGUGGGGUGCUCGAGUGGCGAACGGGUGAGUAACACGUGAGUAACCUGCCCUUGACUUUGGGAUAACUUCAGGAAACUGGGGCUAAUACCGGAUAGGAGAUCCUGCUGCAUGGGGGGGGUGGGAAAGUGUCGGCGGUUGGGGAUGGACUCGCGGCUUAUCAGCUUGUUGGUGGGGUAGUGGCUUACCAAGGCUUUGACGGGUAGCCGGCCUGGGAGGGUGACCGGCCACAUUGGGACUGAGAGACGGCCCAGACUCCUACGGGAGGCAGCAGUGGGGAAUAUUGCACAAUGGGCGGAAGCCUGAUGCAGCAACGCCGCGUGCGGGAUGACGGCCUUCGGGUUGUAAACCGCUUUCGCCUGUGACGAAGCGUGAGUGACGGUAAUGGGUAAAGAAGCACCGGCUAACUACGU
RNAcentral lists this ribosomal RNA (467 nucleotides) under uncultured bacterium. RNAcentral describes it as "partial 16S ribosomal RNA". It matches the Rfam family "Bacterial small subunit ribosomal RNA", at positions 28 to 506 of the family's 1533-position model. The record is from RNAcentral.